UACAGAGGUCCCGAGCGUUGUUCGGAUUCACUGGGCGUAAAGGGUGCGUAGGUGGCAUGUUAAGUUUGAUGUGAAAGCUCAGGGCUUAACCCUGAAAUGGCAUUGAAUACUAGCGUGCUGGAGGUUUGGAGGGGGGACUGGAAUUCUCGGUGUAGCAGUGAAAUGCGUAGAUAUCGAGAGGAACACCAGUGGCGAAGGCGGCUUCCUGGAUCACCCCUGACGCUGAGACGCGAAAGCGUGGGGAGCGAACGGG
Molecule: ribosomal RNA, 253 nt
Filed under: uncultured bacterium
Lineage: Bacteria
Description: partial 16S ribosomal RNA
Rfam family: Bacterial small subunit ribosomal RNA
Source: RNAcentral